RNAcentral lists this transfer RNA (69 nucleotides) under Rubeoparvulum massiliense. It matches the Rfam family "tRNA". Rfam says of the family: Transfer RNA (tRNA) molecules are approximately 80 nucleotides in length. Lineage: Bacteria; Bacillati; Bacillota; Bacilli; Caryophanales; Bacillaceae. The record is from RNAcentral.
CGGUGUAGCUCAAUUGGUAGAGCAACUGACUUGUAAUCAGUAGGUUGGGGGUUCAAUUCCUCUCGCCGG